UCGCUCGUCGCUCUCGUCGCCCUCUCUCCUCCCCUUCGCCUCUCUUCUGCCACCACCUCGCCGGUCACCACCUCGCCCACCUCGCCGGCCACCACCACGACGGCCAGGAGGCCACCAUCUCUCCCCAUCGCCGCCAUCUUUCUUCAGCCUCCACUCACACCCGUCGUCCACUCGCACCCCGCUCCACUCACACCCCGCAUUCGAGGUCAAAGUUUAGAUUUUUCUCCGGCGGCGAGCUUCUUGGCGACGGAGGCGCUGGAUCCGCGUGCGCCUGCUCUGGAUCUGGCGAGGGAGGCGAUGGAUGCGACGUCUGGAGUACACAUGGGCGGCGGCCUGCUCCCCGCCGUGGCAUGGAGGGCGAGGGGCGGCGUGGCGCCGAGGGCGAGCCUGGUGGCAGCGCGGACGUCGACCGAGGAGGCGGUGUACGAGCUGCGGCAGGCAGCGCUGGUGGAGGACCUGUAGGGGUGGCGGGCUCGAGAGGCCGAGGCGGGCAGGCGCCGCGAGUGGCGGGACGAGCAGCUGGAGCAGGAGGGCAACGCCGAGCUCGGCUGGGGCCUCCUGUGCGAUGCCUACGACAGCUGCGGCGAGGUCUGCGCCGAGUACGCCACCUUCUACCUCGUUAGUUUCUGUAAUUUGAGGCGAGGAGUACCUGCCUGGAGUGCUGUGUGUGGCGAGGACCAGGCGGGGGCGCAACAAGGAUCAGGCUGGGCAGCGGGGCAAGGACCAAGUUAGGGCGGCGGCGAUCAGACUGGGGCGAAGGAGGAGGUUGGGCCUGCUGCUGGCGACAGGGAUGAGCAGCUGGACGACAGGGGGAGCCUGGCGGAGGGUCUUGGCUGGUGGAGGGUGGUGGAGGAGGAGGAGGGGCCUGCUGCUGGCGACGGGGACUGCUGCUGGAGGGCGGCGAAGGAGGAGGGGCCUGCUGCUGGCGACAGGGAGGAGCCUGGCAGAGGCUCCUACUGGUGGAGGGCGGAGGAUGAGGAGGAGGAAGGGCCUGUUGCUGGAGGAGGUGGAGGGCGGAGGAAGAGGAGGCGAGUGCUGGUCUGGAGGAAGACAACGAGGAAGACGAUCUGUUUUCAAGUUGGAAGUAGUUUGGUAUUUUCCCUCGUUUUCACCUGGUCGGAAAAACCUCCCCAACGACAAUUAUUUCGGAACGGAGGGAGUAGUGUACAUGUCUUGUUUUUUCAGAUUUUUUUUGAAAUUCUAAAUUUUGAUUUUUUUUUAAAAUUUGGGGCUACAUGGAGUUCAAGCUCCAUUAACUAGCUCCCACCACUAGAUUUCUAUGCACAAGUGUGCUUGUACAUCGCCUCAAUUAUGAUAGCCAUCUGAUUAAAGUUGUGUGACAUGAUCAAGUCAUGAAUGUAGACAUAACUGUUACUUUUCUUCAUUAACUUAUCCACGAAAACCAUGCCA
Triticum aestivum (bread wheat) is the source of this 1410-nucleotide long non-coding RNA. RefSeq lists it as uncharacterized. The transcript is spliced from 2 exons. Lineage: Eukaryota; Viridiplantae; Streptophyta; Magnoliopsida; Poales; Poaceae. The record is from RefSeq and is a predicted model, not a curated record.